UUCACGAGGUAAUAUUGACCGGGCGAAAGAAUCCCUGAGAGCGCCGUUGUUUGCCACGAAGUGCCGGCCGACGAAGCGUAUUGGACCGACCAGCCUGUUAAAUCCACACUCGCGUUGCUACGAUUGAAUAUCUCGAUGAAAUCGUUCGUGUACGGCGCGUCCACAUUGCCUCCGCCACCAUAAACCUGACUGAUUACCACGGCACCCGGCGCCGGGGACGGCGGAGUGACAGUCAACGAAAUAGACCCUGAACCCGAUCUGGCUUCCGCGUCGGUGACGCUGAGGGGAAGGCUCUUAGCC
RNAcentral lists this unclassified non-coding RNA (300 nucleotides) under uncultured bacterium. RNAcentral's name for it is "contains 16S-23S intergenic spacer region". The record is from RNAcentral.